UGCAAACUGUAACUCCAAGCAUCCUCAGGAACUUAUGAAUCCAGUAAAGGUACUGAGGUUAAUCACCAUUUCCUUCACAUAGAACCUCAUUUUCUUGUUUGUACUGUCACGGCCACCACUGCUCUUCUCCACCCACACUUUUAAUCAAAAGCUGGAUGCAACAAGUUGAGACCUAUAUUCUGGGGAUUGUUGAGAGUCCUUCUGGGAACACAGAGGAAAUAAUAAACUGAAGAAGAAGUAAAUAGAAAGAGGCUACAACAGUAGAGUAAAUUAAAACAUUUAAUCGCAAACUGACUCUUAGAAUAUACUGAUUAUCCUUGCCUGAACACCUAGGGUUAUUUAAGGCUUAAUGCUUCCAUUACGACUCAAGUAAUACUUUAGGGAAGACUUGUAAUUUAUUAAAACCGCCUCCAUCUUCAUAUGGAGAUCUGUUGAUAAGGUCAACAAGGUGAACAUCAAAUCGUUAUUUACAACUACUCUUCAUGUUAAUCAAAACUCUCAUCUCUGGUAUUCUACUCUAAUAAUUUGCUGAAUAUUUGUUCUGAAAGUGCUGUAUUGUGCCUUUACUGAAAAAAAAGGAUUUUAAGCUUUUUAACUUGCACAGCAGCAGCAACUGAAUUUUAUAACUCUGUUUUAUUCUGAGUUGGCACCCUAUAGGUAUUUCAGUUGAGCCAUGCUGUUCCCGUGUUUUCAUGAAUUCUAUGUUUCCCUAUAGGAUGUUUGUUCUUUUCAAGGAGGGAAUGUCCACAUAGACUAUUAAAGGACAAUGAAACUUUAAAACAUUAAAGUUUAAAGAAAAGGGAUUAGCACCACCAAUCAUAGCUUAGCAACUGGUGUGUCGUUCUUCAAAUAUCUCCACACGUGAACUGAUGUGUGUGGGGCUGUAGUAAGAUCGAUUGCCUACCCCGAGUUUGGUGGUUUCUUUUCUUACUCUGUCCAAAAACUAAAAAACCAAGACCAACUGGAAAAGUAAUGCAUGUUUGUCUGCUCUGUAAACGUUAGCAUGCCCAGCUACCUAUAAUUUAACAUUACUUCGGAGGCCGGGUGUAUGUCAUACAUUAAAAAGAAGCCCAGUUCACCACUUGCACGUCUACUGUGUAGUUGUUCCCUACUGUGUGGGAGGUGGUCCUGGAUGCUACAUCGGUGUACUGCUCCAGCAUGCAUACAAUUCAAACUUGGUAUUGGAGGAUAGAGCUUGCGGUACAUGUCAUCUCUUCAUUAUCUCAAGGCUUCGGGCACACACAUCAUACAUUCUCUCUGAGUAUGUGUGUAUGUUACAGGUGUGCUUCCCUUAUGUGCCAUGUUCUCAGAGCCGCACAAUACAGGACAUGAAACUGGCGUGUACAGCACAGGAAACGGAACUGCUGCACAUGCCACCCAAUGAACAGGAUAU
Molecule: long non-coding RNA, 1393 nt
Organism: Thunnus maccoyii (southern bluefin tuna)
Lineage: Eukaryota; Metazoa; Chordata; Actinopteri; Scombriformes; Scombridae
Exons: 3
Source: RefSeq, a predicted model, not a curated record